UUGUCCUUAGUUACCAGCACGUUAUGUUGGGCACUCUAAGGAGACUGCCGGUGACAAACCGGAGGAAGGUGGGGAUGACGUCAAGUCAUCAUGGCCCUUACGGCCUGGGCUACACACGUGCUACAAUGGUCGGUACAAAGGGUUGCCAAGCCGCGAGGUGGAGCUAAUCCCAUAAAACCGAUCGUAGUCCGGAUCGCAGUCUGCAACCCGACUGCGUGAAGUCGGAAUCGCUAGUAAUCGUGAAUCAGAAUGUCACGGUGAAUACGUUCCCGGGCCUU
RNAcentral lists this ribosomal RNA (278 nucleotides) under uncultured Pseudomonas sp. RNAcentral's name for it is "partial 16S ribosomal RNA". It matches the Rfam family "Bacterial small subunit ribosomal RNA", at positions 1105 to 1382 of the family's 1533-position model. Lineage: Bacteria; Pseudomonadati; Pseudomonadota; Gammaproteobacteria; Pseudomonadales; Pseudomonadaceae. The record is from RNAcentral.